Molecule: ribosomal RNA, 383 nt
Filed under: uncultured Nitrosomonas sp.
Lineage: Bacteria; Pseudomonadati; Pseudomonadota; Betaproteobacteria; Nitrosomonadales; Nitrosomonadaceae
Description: bacterial SSU rRNA
Rfam family: Bacterial small subunit ribosomal RNA
Source: RNAcentral
GGAUCGAAAGACCUUAUGCUUUUGGAGCGGCCGAUGUCUGAUUAGCUAGUUGGUAAGGUAAUGGCUUACCAAGGCGACGAUCAGUAGUUGGUCUGAGAGGACGGCCAGCCACACUGGGACUGAGACACGGCCCAGACUCCUACGGGAGGCAGCAGUGGGGAAUUUUGGACAAUGGGCGCAAGCCUGAUCCAGCAAUGCCGCGUGAGUGAAGAAGGCCUUCGGGUUGUAAAGCUCUUUCAGUCGAGAAGAAAAGGUUGUGACUAAUAAUUGCAACUCAUGACGGUAUCGACAGAAGAAGCACCGGCUAACUACGUGCCAGCAGCCGCGGUAAUACGUAGGGUGCGAGCGUUAAUCGGAAUUACUGGGCGUAAAUGAAACGCAGG